RNAcentral lists this ribosomal RNA (491 nucleotides) under uncultured bacterium. RNAcentral describes it as "bacterial SSU rRNA". It matches the Rfam family "Bacterial small subunit ribosomal RNA", at positions 28 to 514 of the family's 1533-position model. The record is from RNAcentral.
GAUGAACGCUAGCGGCAGGCUUAACACAUGCAAGUCGAACGGCAGCACAGGUAGCAAUACUGGGUGGCGAGUGGCGCACGGGUGCGUAACGCGUAUGCAACCUACCUCUAUCUGGGAGAUAGCCCGAAGAAAUUCGGAUUAAUACCCCAUAAUAUAUGCCUUUCGCAUGUUAGACAUAUUAAAGCUUUGGCGGAUAGAGAUGGGCAUGCGUGACAUUAGCUAGUUGGUAAGGUAACGGCUUACCAAGGCUACGAUGUCUAGGGGGUCUGAGAGGAUUAUCCCCCACACUGGUACUGAGACACGGACCAGACUCCUACGGGAGGCAGCAGUGAGGAAUAUUGGACAAUGGGCGAAAGCCUGAUCCAGCCAUGCCGCGUGCAGGAAGACGGCCCUAUGGGUUGUAAACUGCUUUUGUUAGGGAAGAAACCCCUCGAUUUAUCGGGGGCUGACGGUACCUUUCGAAUAAGCACCGGCUAACUCCGUGCCAGCAG